GAUGAACGCUGGCGGCGUGCCUAACACAUGCAAGGCGAGCGAUCCUCUUCGGAGAAGAGCGGCGGACGGGUGAGUAACGCGUGGGUAACUUGCCCUGUACACACGGAUAACAUACCGAAAGGUAUGCUAAUACGAGAUAAUAUACUUUUAUCGCAUGGUAGAAGUAUCAAAGCUUUUGCGGUACAGGAUGGACCCGCGUCUGAUUAGCUAGUUGGUAAGGUAACGGCUUACCAAGGCUACGAUCAGUAGCCGACCUGAGAGGGUGAUCGGCCACAUUGGAACUGAGACACGGUCCAAACUCCUACGGGAGGCAGCAGUGGGGAAUAUUGCACAAUGGGCGAAAGCCUGAUGCAGCAACGCCGCGUGAGCGAUGAAGGCCUUCGGGUCGUAAAGCUCUGUCCUCAAGGAAGAUAAUGACGGUACUUGAGGAGGAAGCCCCGGCUAACUACGUGCCAGCCGCCGCCGUAA
This 468-nucleotide ribosomal RNA is filed under the name uncultured bacterium. RNAcentral's name for it is "partial 16S ribosomal RNA". It matches the Rfam family "Bacterial small subunit ribosomal RNA", at positions 28 to 523 of the family's 1533-position model. The record is from RNAcentral.